CCUACGGGAGGCAGCAGUAGGGAAUAUUGCUCAAUGGGGGAAACCCUGAAGCAGCAACGCCGCGUGGAGGAUGAAGGUUUUCGGAUCGUAAACUCCUUUUGUUAGAGAAGAUAAUGACGGUACCUAACGAAUAAGCACCGGCUAACUCCGUGCCAGCAGCCGCGGUAAUACGGAGGGUGCAAGCGUUACUCGGAUUCACUGGGCGUAAAGAGCGCGUAGGCGGGAUAGCAAGUCAGAUGUGAAAUCCUAUGGCUUAACCAUAGAACUGCAUUUGAAACUGUUAUUCUAGAGUUUGGGAGAGGUAAGUGGAAUUCUUAGUGUAGCGGUAAAAUCCGUAGAGAUCAGGAGGAAUACUCAUGGCGAAGGCGACCUGCUGGAACGUAACUGACGCUGAUGCGCGAAAGCGUGGGUAUCAAACAGGAUUAGAUACCCCUGUAGUC
RNAcentral lists this ribosomal RNA (440 nucleotides) under uncultured bacterium. RNAcentral describes it as "partial 16S ribosomal RNA". It matches the Rfam family "Bacterial small subunit ribosomal RNA", at positions 338 to 795 of the family's 1533-position model. The record is from RNAcentral.